UGAUCCUGGCUCAGGAUGAACGCUAGCGGCAGGCUUAACACAUGCAAGUCGAGGGGUAACAUUGUAGCUUGCUACAGAUGACGACCGGCGCACGGGUGCGUAACGCGUAUAGAACUUACCUUUUACAGAGGGAUAGCCUCUAGAAAUGAAGAUUAAUACCUCAUAGUAUUAUUGAUUGGCAUCAAUUAAUAAUUAAAGAUUUAUCGGUAAAAGAUGGCUAUGCGUCCUAUUAGCUAGAUGGUAAGGUAAUGGCUUACCAUGGCUACGAUAGGUAGGGGCCCUGAGAGGGGGAUCCCCCACACUGGUACUGAGACACGGACCAGACUCCUACGGGAGGCAGCAGUGAGGAAUAUUGGGCAAUGGAGGUAACUCUGACCCAGCCAUGCCGCGUGCAGGAAGACUGCCCUAUGGGUUGUAAACUGCUUUUAUACAGGAAGAAACACUCGUACGUGUACGAGCUUGACGGUACUGUAAGAAUAAGGACCGGCUAACUCCGUGCCAGCAGCCGCGGUAAUACGGAGGGUCCGAGCGUUAUCCGGAAUCAUUGGGUUUAAAGGGUCCGCAGGCGGUCAAUUAAGUCAGAGGUGAAAUCCCAUAGCUUAACUAUGGAACUGCCUUUGAUACUGGUUGACUUGAGUCAUAUGGAAGUAGAUAGAAUGUGUAGUGUAGCGGUGAAAUGCAUAGAUAUUACACAGAAUACCGAUUGCGAAGGCAGUCUACUACGUAUGUACUGACGCUCAUGGACGAAAGCGUGGGGAGCGAACAGGAUUAGAUACCCUGGUAGU
RNAcentral lists this ribosomal RNA (785 nucleotides) under uncultured marine bacterium. Its description in RNAcentral is "bacterial SSU rRNA". It matches the Rfam family "Bacterial small subunit ribosomal RNA", at positions 14 to 794 of the family's 1533-position model. The record is from RNAcentral.